Symphalangus syndactylus (siamang) is the source of this 12742-nucleotide long non-coding RNA. RefSeq lists it as uncharacterized. Lineage: Eukaryota; Metazoa; Chordata; Mammalia; Primates; Hylobatidae. The record is from RefSeq and is a predicted model, not a curated record.
CCAUAACCUCCCGGAAGAUCCACACCACGAAUGAUCUGAUGGGGACAAAAACCCCGGGACUCGAGGGACCUUUGCGGCGGACCCUUAAAACACCUGGCAAUCCCAUUAAAUUGAAACAUGGUACAUAUUUUGCUAUUCUAGUUUUGGCUAAUACGUUCUAUUUCAAGGGUCUCCCAGCCACAGUUUGCCAGCGGGCAGGCGGCGCCGCAGGAAGUGACCGGGCAAGAACGGGGGUCGCCGCCCAGCUGGGCCUCCUGUUCUCUAAGCCCUCGGCCUCGGGCUCCAGGCCACACGGGGAGGCCGUGCUGGGCGGGCCCGAAGAGGGUGGGGCGGGGCCCCGGAAGUGACGUGGGGCGGGGCCAACGGACCGCGGAGGCGGUGGGAGCAGCGCUCGUCAGCCGUUGGGGACCCCAGCCCGCUCGCAUGAAGUAGCUGGCCGACCAAGCCCCAGAAGGCGAGUGCCGGAGGGGGCGGGACAGCUCCUCCGGGGCCAGCCGGCACCAGGCUUGGGGGCUGAGGCCCAGCGGCCCGAGACCAACUGGGCGGACCGAGGCCGCCUCCCUGCCAGCCCUGGGGUCCACUGCCCCAGGGAGCAGCUCCCUUCCGAGGUCAGACUCGGGCUUCAUCCUCUCUUGCCGAGCGCCGAGCGGUUUUCAACUCUCACUGCUAGGAUUCCUCCAGCCAUAGGUCCGAGAUACAUGGCCAGCCAUGACCCGGAACGUCCACUUCCAGGGACAGGCGGUGGUGAUUGGCUUCGGUUGUCAUCUGUGCCAUCUGUCCAUGGUUCGAAAAGCUGCUGUUCACGUUUUGGGGAGGAUCAUGGUUUGAGGGCUCCCAUGGUAGAAUUUGGGGAGCUCUCAUAGGCAGAAGGCUGAGAAAAGUUGGUGCUGUAGGAAGUCAGCUGGCAGCCGAUGGAGUCAGGACCAGGGAGGAAGGGAAAGGGAACCUAGAUAGGAAGCUACUGCAGUAGGCUCAGAGAGGUGAUGAUGGCGGGGCUAAGACAGCGGCCUUGGGCGGUGACUGGGAAGAACAUUGAACACCAUGUUUGGGCUGAAGAAAAGAGCAAGGGAAGAGAUGAGGAGCUUCAGUCCCAGCUGCUCUGGAGGUUGAGGCAGGAGGAUGGCUUGAACCCAAGAGGAGGCUGAAGUGAGCCAAGAUUGCGCCACUGCACUCCAGCCUGGGCGACAGGGCAAAACCCUGUCUCUAAAAAGAACUUUUUAAAAAAGCACCUGCAGAUUUAAGCACAUAAUAACUACACUUUUGUCUGUUUUAUUAUGAUAUCAAAGUUAAAUUUAUGAUGAAUGACUAACUGGACAAAACUGAGAGCAACCACCACAGAGGUGAAUAUACUGAAUGUAUAACACUCUAAUAAUUUUAAGAACUCCACUCUAAUGAGCAGAUAUCACAGAAAGAAACUUUUCAGAUGAAAUACCAAUGACCAGGAAAUCUGUGAGACGAUUUAAAAAAAUUCGAAGUCAUUGAAGAAAUGCAAAGCUUCCAGGCUCCACUUUUCGCUCAUGAAAUUGGCAGAGUUCAGGGCAAUGAGUGUUGCUGUCCCAGGAGUGCGGAUGGGGCUGUGUCCUUCGCUGGCGGUGGGAAUGUGCACUGGCACUCUUGUCCAGAAAGACAUUCACCACUGUGGUUUAAGAAGCAUCUCAAAGGUCUUCACCUUGGUCCCUUGUCCACCUCUGCCCGCGGUCUCUCCUCCUUUCAGCCUCCUCUUUCCCACACAGUCCCUCCUGCCCAGGCUUGGUCCCCUUUCUUCUCUGACUGGGUCAGGCAUGUGGGUGACUCUUUGACUUCCAAGGCUCUGUCUGCUUGGCUUUUUUCUUUCACCUGUUCUGCGGAAUAACCUGAUUCGUUCCUCUUUUUGAGUCCUUCACUUCCAUACCUGGGAUUCGGGGCGUGGCCCAGAAAGACCUUGCAGUCAUGCAGUGUGGGGCUGCCAGCAUUUCAUGGCCUCCAAGCUCAGCUGGGCUGAAUGAACGCUGCUGUCCAGCGCUUGGCUCAGUUUUCUGUCCCAGUUUCCUGAGUGCUUUUGCCAGACUUUCACUUUUCUGAAACCUACUUCACCCUACCCCAGACACCCACCCUCUCUCCUUGGAUGACCUGCCUCCUAAUUUCUAGAGAAAACUGGACAUGGCCACCUUUCCCCAGUGUCUGAGGCCCAGGUUGACCCGUGGUCAUGGUCGCUGUCACCACCCACCUGCCUGUAUGACAGAGUGAGACCCUGUCUCAAAAAAAAACAUAAAUAAAAAGAAUGCCUCCUGUUAGGCUGGGUGUAGUGGCUUAUGCCUGCAAUCCCAGCACUUUGGGGGGCUGAGGCAGGUAUCGAUAGUUUGAGCCCAGGAGGGGUUGUCAACCUGGACAACAGAGGGAGACCCUGUCUCUACAGAUAAUUUUUUAAAAUUAAGGCAGGGCAUGAUGGCUCAUGCACUUAAUCCCAGCACUUUGGGAGGCUGAGUCAGGAGGACUGCAUGAGCCCAGGAAUUCAAGACCAGCCUGGGCAAUGUAGAGAGACCUCCAUCUCUACAAAAAAUUUUUAAAAAUUAAGGCAAGGUAUGGUGGCUGAUGCCUGUAAUCCCAGCACUUCAGGAGGAUGAGGUAGGAGGAUAGAUUCAGCCCAGGAGUUGGAGCCAUAAUCACACCACUGCACUCCAGCAUGGGCAACAGCAUAAGACCCUAUCUGAAAAUACAUAAAUAAAAGAAAAAGUUAGCUAGGCGUGGUGGUGCAUUCUUGUGGUCCCAACUACUCAGGAGGCUGAGAUGGGACAAUCGCCUGAGCAUGGGAAGUCGAGGGUGCAGUGAGCCAUGAUGGUGCCAUUGCACUCUAGCUUCGGUGACAGACAGCCAGACCGUGUCACCAAAAAAAAAAAAGUAUCCUAUGAAAAAUGACAAUUUCCAGUGGAACAAUUAUGAGGAAGAGAUGGGAUCUGCCUGGGCUUUUUCAGUCUUUUGGACAAUUCAAGAUUCCUCUAGCUAAUGAUUUCACAGUUGGUAACAGCUUGUUAGCUUUACGGUGUUUCUUUAAUGUUUGUUAAAUGUUCCUGGGAUACAGGUACCAGAUUACAAUUCACACCAGCCAGGAGGGACAGUGGAAAUUUCUUGAGGAGGCUUGCAGGUCCCUUGGACCUAGGGCACCCAACCAUUUGGGAUGUUUAGGAGAAAAAGGAGGUUUUACUUCCGUCUUCCCUGGGGUUCCAUAUGAAUGUGUCAUCUUGGCCAGUGUUCUUAUGAACUCUAAAUGAAACUGAAGCACGCCUUUAACAUUACUUUAAGAAAGAAUCACAGAAGCCAACCUUAAAUCAUUUAAAAUGUGAAUGAAACUUGAAGCAAUAGAUAGGAAGAACCAUUAUCUGGUCUGUCCUGCAAUUAUUGGAAGUGUUAAAGGAGAUGAAGUUUACAAUGGCUGGGAGUAAUGGCUCAUGUCUCUAUUCCUCAUGCUUUGGGAGGCAGAGUGGGGAGUAUCCCUUGAAGGAAUUUGAGGCUGCAGUGAGCUAUGAUUGUGCCACUGCACGCCAGCCAUGGUGACAGAGCAAGACACUGUCUGCAUCAGAAGAGAGCCCAGCAGCUGCCCAGGCCUUGGUUGGUCCCCAUGGAUGUGGAGCUGUGGCAGGUCAUGCAGAACCAUGUGGAUUGUGCCCUCCAAGCCGGACCGUUCUUGGAUUUCUCCAUAGUGGAGAUAUGGUCGCUGACUUCUCCGAUGGGGAAAACAUUCUGUCUUUCCCUGCUUCAGAGGCGAAACCUCCUUGCCAUUCACACAAUCUAGUUCAAUAGUAUCUACUCUGGCACUGCUAAUCCUCCGGAAGACGCUGUUCAAUCAAGUCUAAAUCAGCCUUCCAGUAGUUUCCAUCUAUUGGGUCUCACCAUACUGUCUCAGCAUGGGGUGGCCAUGAUUUGCUAAGCCUGUUUUUCUCUUCUUUAAAUGGAUGUAACAGCCUUUCUGAAGAUUUUUUUUUUUUUUUUUUUUUUUUUACAUUUGUUGCCCGGUACUCAUUUGGAGGCCUGGAGUCCAGCAGAGUUCCUUUCCGUGUUUUCUGCAGUCCUUCAGCAGGGUCUGCACACUUGAUGGCCUAGAAUUGGGCUGGCCCUCGGCAAUCCUGCCCACCCUGUGGGCAAGUAAGUUUGCUGACAGACUUCAGUAGGCCCCGUGUACCUGAGCUUCAAUGGGGUGGGGUUCUCUCCCAGCCACGUCAGCUGUGUCUACCCCUCCCUGCUCUCUCUUCCCUCUCUUCUCCCUGCCCUGGGUGCUCUUGUAAUAUCCAGCCUCUGGGUUUCCAACUCAUCUAGUAGAUCUCAGAAGCCAUAACCAGUUUCAGGAUCUCUUUCUGGUAUCCUGGGUUUGUAUUCAGGGCCCCUCCUGUCACGUCUGUAACGCUCAACAAUUUAAUGAGCUUCUCUGUGCCUAGGUUUCUAAUCUUUAAAAUGGGUAUAAUAGUAGUAUCAGUCUCAUAGUUGUCUUGAGGAUUAGGUGGGUUAAUAUUUGUAAAGCAUGUAUCAGGUAGGUUAAGAACAGGGUACCUGAAGUAAUACUGCCCAGAUUCAGAGCAGAGCCAGGAAACCUUGGGCAAGUCACUUCUCUGUGCCACAUCUUAUCCACAUCUCUGUAACAUGAGGAUGAUAAUAUAGUUAUUGUAAACUUUUAGGCAAUUAUUUCUUGCAAAGCACCUGGAACAGUGCCAGGCACAUGAUAUGGGCUCAACAAACGUGAGCUGUGGUGAUGGUGACAACCCCUGGAGGGACCCUGAACUUCCCUGUGGUGUCGCCAUUGUGCUGGAGUCUAAUGGCUUAUUUUCCUCAAUAGUUCUCAAGCGCUGUCAGAGCAGGGGAUGGUCAUCAGUAUCCUGACUUCUCUUUUGCUUGAGCUCCUGGAUGGUAUCUUGUGUUUGUAGUUUGUAGAUUUCAUUUUCAUCAAAGCUAAUUGUUCCUUCUACUUUAGAAGUCUGAGCAAUAUGCCUUCAGUGGCCAACUGGAGACUUGUGUUUUAAAACUUCACUGGACUAUCUGUUUAUUGCUGUGAUGAAAUUAUGUCACAAAAACCCAUGUACUCAUUGUGGAACAUGGAAGCAUGAUGGGUACCACCCGAAUGGAGGGGAUACAGUGUGGAUGGGAACCUCUGGCCUCCCCGAAUGUGUUGACUCCAGGACUGGCUGCCAGUCCUGCAGCCGAUCCUGCAAUGCUUGCUUUCAUGCUUUAGGAACGCUCAUUUCUGCCUUUCUGCUGUAAUUGAUGCCAAUAGCUGCCAGUCCUAAAACGCAUCCUGCAGUGCUUGUUUUCUUGCUUUAGGAACGCUCAUUUCUGCCUUUCUGCUGUAAUUGAUGCCAAUAGCUGCCAGUCCUAAAACGCAUCCUGCAGUGCUUGUUUUCUUGCUUUAGGAACGCUCAUUUCUGCCUUUCUGUUGUAAUUGAUGCCAAUAGCUGCCAGUCCUAAAACGCAUCCUGCAGUGCUUGUUUUCUUGCUUUAGGAACGCUCAUUUCUGCCUUUCUGUUGUAAUUGAUGCCAAUAGCUGCCAGUCCUAAAACACAUCCUGCAGUGCUUGCUUUCUUGCUUUAGGAGUGCUCAUUUCUGCCUUUCUGUUGUAAUUGAUGCCAAUAACUUGUAGUUUGCUGCCAUAUCUGAAGCUCUGAUGCUUCCUACAUCUCUCCCAGGUCACUACAAAGAUUUUGAAGUCCCUCAUUCUCUGAUAUUAAGAAUUUCAUACUGGCUUCAGUCUCCUUUAUCUCACUGUUAGGGAACUCUUCCCCUUUUCUGUGCCAUUUAUGAGCACACUUGAGAUGUGGCCACAUUGCUGCCCACUUGCUCCAAGGAACAGCUUAAGCCAGAGUCAAAGCCACCAAACCAGGAAGACAUCCCUAUUGUUCAUAGAAGUCAUCUGGUUGGCUCCAAGAAAAACAUCCAGCGCAGUUGGAUCUGACUUUAAGUCUGGAGGUCCUGUCUCUAAAACAAAGGAGAGAAACUCACAAUGAGAUGUUUCUAGGCAGCGCCUGCUCAGAGGCCCACUCAGGGUAGGGGACUGCCAGGAAACGCAGAGGCCUGGCCUAGGGCCUCAUUAGGGCUGGUCUUUGGUGACAGCCCUAAUAACAGGGCAGGCCUCUGUUCUUCCCUACACCUUCCUCAUCUCUGGGUUGGCCUUGUCUCCCUCUGCAUUAGUGAUUUUCCCCAGCGCCAUGCGUGGCUCCUGCCAGCCUGAUGCUGGCCACCAGGACACACGCUCCAAAACAGCCACCCCCAAAUGCCUUUUCCUGAGUGUGCGUGAGUGCGUGCAUCAGGGAGAACGCUCAUACCCUUCAGUUUUUUACCAAAUGGUAACAUACAGUACCUAUGUAUCCUGCAGCUUGUGGUUUUCACACAAUUGCUUUUUUAAAUGCAGGUAAAAAUUAUACAGUGAAACACAUUCAUCUUGAGUACAAAUCAGUGGGUUAUGACAAAUAUCUGCACCUGUGCCUAAGCAGUACCCUGAGGAGGACACUGAACGUUUCCAUCAUCCAAAAAGUUCCCCAUGCUGUUUGCCAUUCGCCCUCACCCUCCAGCCCCAGCAAGCCCUGUUGAGUCUCAUUGGAGUUCUUUCCUCCACCAAGGGAUAGAAACUCACCUGAUGGCUGCAUGCAGACACUGAGAGUCCCGACCCCUCAUUCAUCACAAUUGAUCCCUUACUCCUGCCUGAUUGCUGUCUUCCUGCUCAUAAUUAAAUUCCUUCCCCCUGCUAUAUAAUGCCCCUGGCUCUUCAGCUGGAGAGAGGGAUUUGAGACUGAUCUCCUGUUCUCUUGGGCUGAUGUCAACCUUAAUAUAAUAAAGUUUUCUUCCCCGGCAUUACUUUUCUUAAUGAUUGGCUUUCUGUGCAGGACCUAUACUGAACCGAUACUGAACCCCUGGCAUUUCAGUAACAGAUUUUGGUCCACUAAUCGGGAAUGGGUUGCCUCUGGCUGGUGGCCGCAGAUGGGGAGAGUCUCAGAGGCCCUCCUAAGCAGCUGCCUGACCCUUUUUUGGCCAAAGGUGGAUUUCUGUCUGUCUCUCUUUGUCCCCACUGCUGCUGACUCUGUGUUCCUAAUUGUCUAGGAAGAGCAGCCUUUGAAAUGUGACAUAUGCAUCUGACCGGUGUCUUUUGUGGGUACCAGAUGGCAGGAUCUGCUUCUCUCAAUUUGGGUGGGGAAUUGUGAAGGAAUUUGCAUUUGCAGGUUGAACAGGCCCAGCUGACUGAGAGGGAAGCACCUCAACUGUUUUGGCUUGGAUGGUCUUGGGGGCUUGUUAGUCGCUACUGUGGUUAGAUUGUAUUUCCAUAAUUAUUUAUGUGUGUGUAUGUGGAUAUAGUCAUGAGAAAUCAGAAUUUGAUCUUAGAAUGUAGGCCACCUGGGUGCAUUCUUUAGAAUUAGUCUGAAUAUAGUUAUGAGCCAGUGGAACAAAGGAAAAUGAUAUUCUUUUGUAACACUGUUUGGCUCCAGUGUUCUUUGAAGUCUGGGGAGGCUGGGACUCUCCAUGGGUCUUUGAAUUGUACUGCUGUCUUAUAAUUGCGUUCAUUUUUCUGUUGGAUGGAAAGGCGGGAUGGAGUUCCAUGUAUCCAGGCUUUUCUGCUGCUGUCCUAAGCACGGUCGGGCCUGGCUGCUUGUGAUGUUCUUCAGUGGUACUGUUUGGCCCCAGUAUUCUUUUAAAGUCUGGGGAGGUUUGGCCUUUAAAAAUCAAACUGCCAUGGAAAGUGAUUUACCCAAAAUUUUGGUUCACAGCCUUCACUGGAUUACCUACUGGGGCAAACAAAGUUUAGCCAUGUGAACAUGUUCAUAAACCAGUGAGUUUGCAUUGCUAUCUAAUGGCUAAAAUUCCAGGGUAAAAGCUGUUGGAUCUUUGUAUGUGUGUAUUUUUCUCUGGAUGUUCUGUAUCAUUUUCACAGGGUACCAAAUUGUCUUAUAAAUAAAAAAGAGUGUGCAUAAAUUAGGUAAAUAAGUCCAGUCAUUUUCCAAGUUCAUGUGACUUAAGUAAAUCUUUAAUAAGCUGGCUUUAACAUUAUUGGUAAAAUAGAAAUGUCUUCAGACUUGUCAGCCUACCUUUUUGUCUGAGUGUUAUAUUUGCUAGAUGUGUUAAGGUGUCAGAGUUUGACAGAAAAGGUUAUAAGACUAUAAACCCAGCCAAGAAGAAAAUGAUCUUAGUGUGUGUGUGGCUUUUUUGACAAAUAAGACUAACGUUGUCGUUUAAUAAAAACAGCUGAAUUUUCUGAGUUAUUGGCAAAUAUACCCAUGUGUUUUAAUUUUAAAGUUCUUAAUUAGGUAAACACCUGAUAUUCAUAGGUUAUAAAAAUGAUUAUCAAGGAAGCAAUGACUGGCUUUGUCUAAUAUCUCAGUUCUCAUAGUUAAUGUAGAGAAAUGGCUAAAAAUGCAUAAAAUAGAAAUGGGGUAAAUGUAUGUGAACUUUUUCUGUAAUUUAAAAAUCUUGAGAUUUUGGUGCUCAUUAGAUGUCUGAGUCAUUUUAAAUUAAGAAAGGGUUAUGACAUGGGGAAAGAUUUUUUAAAAAACUAUGGAAGGUUGUCAUCUAAAAUGCUAAUAUCUGGUAAACAGUUUAGGAUUUCUUGCUUCCUAGGUUUUUCAUUAAAAUGUAAGGUUACUAAUAAUUCUAGUUAAUAUGUAAUUCCGUAUAUAAAAUGUGUCACAGAAGUUAUAUCUUUACUGAGAAAAAGAAUAACAUCUAAUUCAGAAGUUAUCUAAAAGUUGAUUCAAGUUGGGGCCCGCCUCCGCCCCUCCCGCGGCCUGGCGAGCGCGCCUCCCGGCUCCUGUCUCCCUUCCCUCCUUCUCUCUCACGCGUAGCGCAAUGGCGGCGGAGCAGCAACAGUUCUACCUGCUCCUAGGAAACCUGCUCAGCCCCGACAAUGUGGUCUGGAAACAGGCAGAGGAAACCUAUGAGAAUAUCCCAGGCCAGUCAAAGAUCACAUUCCUCUUACAAGCCAUCAGAAAUACGACAGCUGCUGAAGAGCACACAGAGCCCGCCAAUCACGCCAAUAAACUGAAAUUUCCAGUUCAUGUGACCUGUCCAGUUCCAGUGUAAACUUCUGGUCCCAUGACUGAUUGGAAAUGGGUUUCCAGCUAGUUUGGCCAACCACAGUAUUAUCGAGCUUCAAAACAGCACAGACAUCAUUGGACAAGUCAUCGGUUUUUGGAAGAUUUCGACUACUUCCGCUUUUACUUUUACUGGUUCUGCUCAUGAAACAUGAUCUGGUUUCACUUGGACUCCAACCAGGCAGUGCAACUGAUGUUGCUUUUGACCGUCCAGGGACAUUCUCUAGGAUAUCUUGGCAGCCGAUAAGACGCACUUCCAAAGUACCUGUUAAUGCUGCUGGUUUGGAUAGUGUACUAUAUUGAUUUUGUGUAGAUAUCAUACUUUGACGUGGACUUAGUGUUGGUGAUGCAGCAACAAGUGAAAGUUCUUCAAUAAUAAUACUGCUUUGGGGAUGAUUCUUGGGGAGUUCAUUUAAUCUUUGCUCUAAUGAAUACUUUAAAAGGCCCAACUUCUGACUUGAUUCAUUAAAUCUUGCUUGAGCUUCAAAAAAAAAAAAAAAAAAAGUUGAUUCAAAUUAUGGAGUUGGGGCCAGGCACAGUGGCUCGUGCCUGUAAUCCCAGCAUUUUGGGCGGCCAUGGCGGGGGGAUCACCUGAAGUCGGGAGUUUGAGAUCAGUCUGGCCAACAUAGCGAAACCCUAUCUCUACUAAAAAUAUAAAAAUUAGUCGGGCGUGGUGUUGAGAGCCUGUAAGCCCGGCUACUUGGGAGGCUGAGGCAGGAGAAUCACUUGAACCCAGGAGGCAGAGGUUGCAGUGAGCCGAGAUUGCGCCACUGCAAUCCAGCCUGAGCAACAAGGUUAUCUAAAUGGGCUUCCCAUAAGGAGAAGCAAUUACACUGCAGAAGGUCUUUCUUUGCCUUUUGGUAACUGGCCUAACGAACAGAUUUACGUUUUAUUGAUAAUUCCUAUGUCAUCAUUAGUUUUUAUAUUGCUUAAAAAUAAAUCUAACAGAAUUAAGGUUUUUACAUCCAUGUAACUUUCUAUAUUGCUUCUAAAGUCCUUCUGCUGUUAAGUUUCCUGAGUCUGAAAAAGGCACAGAUUCCUGCUAAAUCUUGAACACUGACGCCAGUCAAAGCCUCAUCUUCAGACCUGGGAGAAGGCGACAAUCGAAAUGAAAUGCUUUCAUGAGAUGCAGGGCCAGCAAUUACAAGUAUUCAAUCCCCCUAGGCCCAGGGACUAUCGCGGAAGAGGUGGGCGCGUGAGAUUGUAAGGGCCGACUUCGAGGGAUAAAAUUAGAGUUUUUCUAUAAACAUUAAUGUCAAAGGCACACUGAUGCCAGGCAAGCAUCUGGCUUCUGUGUCGGAAUGACAAUUUUCCUGGACCACUGAUCUACUCUUUAAUAGAAAAUUGUAAAAGGUUAUACAAGGUGUAUGGAAAUCUUACUUCAUGGUCAAACUGAUUAAAAUUAGAUUUGUUUAUAAGGUUUUAAUUAGUUUUAACAUUAAUAAUACCCCUAAAACAUUAGUAAGAGAUCAAAGAUUUUUGUUUACCUUUUAAGUAAACUACAGGAAAAAAGAAGGAGAGAGACAGACAUUUAGUUGGCUUCCUGCUGUCUUCAUUGGGUCUUACAGUUGGGGAAACUGAGUCUCCUUCGUAUCAAUGAGUAAAGGUCUUUGGUGUUUUGUUUUUUUGUUUGUUUUUUUUUUGAAAUCUUUGAAUUAUCAUUUUGGCUAAAUGAAUAACUAUUUUAUAAUGAACUGUGAUCCUAUUUUGUGGCAUCAAAUGUUUUACACUUUUGAUAUUCGACUGAUGAACUUCCCAACAUCAAAAUUUCAACUUCUGGCUGGCUACAGUGGCUCAUGUCUAUAAUCCCAGCACUUUGGGAGGCUGAGACCAGGCAGGCAGAUCAUUUGAGUUCAGGAGUUUGAGACUAGCCUGGCUAAAAUGGUGAAACUCCACCUCUACUAAAACUACAAAAAUUAGCCAGGUGUGGUGGUGUGUGCCUGUAAUCCCAGCUACUAGAGAAUCACUUGAACCUGAGAGGCAGAGGUUGCAGUGAGCUGAGAUUGUACCACUGCCCUCCAGCGUGGGUGACAGAGCAAAACUCUGUCUAAAAAAAAAAAAAAAUCAAGUUGUAAAUUCAAUCUCUUUGACCUUAAGCUAACUUAAAAAAAGGCUGGCCAUGGUGGCUCACACCUGUAAUCCUAAUCCUAGCACUUUGGGAGGCCAAGGUGGGUGGAUCAUUUGAGGUCAGGAGUUUGAGACCAGCCUGGCCAACAAGGUGAAACCCCAUCUCUACUAAGAAUACAAAAAUUAGCCGGAAAUCACUUGAACCCAGGAGGUGGAGGUUGCAGUGAGCCGAGAUUGUGCCACUGCACUCCAGCAACAGAGCGAGACUGUCUCAAAAAAAAAAAAAAAAUUAAUGGUGGAUGCAGUGGCUCACACCUGUAAUCCCAGCACUUUGAUAGGCUGAGGUGGGCAGAUCACUUGAGCUCAGGAGUUUGAGACCAGUCUGGACAAUACAGUGAGACCUUGUCUCUACAAAAACAAAACAAAACAAAACAAAAACCAACCAAACAAAAAACCCAACAAAACAAAAAACAUGAAAAUCUGGGCAGGGUGGCAUGUGCCUGUAGUCCCAGCCACUCUGGAGACUGAGAUGGGAGGAUUGCUUGAGCCCAGGAGAUCAAGGCUGCAGUGAGCUGUGCUGUGAUUACACCACAGCACUCCAGCCUGGACUACAGAGUUUUGGAGACCCUGUCUCCAAUAACAACAACAAACAAACAAAAAUAUAUAUAUAUUUUUAAAAGAUAUUAGGUCCUCUGGCUGGGCACGGUGGCUCACACCUGUAAUCCCAGCACUUUGGGAGGCCAAGGCAGGUGGAUCACAAGGUCAGGAGAUCGAACCAUCCUGGCCAACACAGUGAAACCCUGUCUCUACUAAAAAAAUACAAAAACUUAGACGGGCGUGGUCAUGGGCACCUGUAGUCCCAGCUAUCGGGAGGCUGAGGCGGGAGAAUGGCAUGAACCCGGGAGGUGGAGUUUGCAGUGAGCCUCCAGCCUGGGCGACAGAGCGAGACUCUGUCUCAAAAAAAAAAAAAAAAGGCAUGCGGUCCCCUGAAGUCCAAAAGAGACAUAUUAGGCUUAUUUGUUAUGUUAAAAUUACACAGGAAGCAUUGUCAAAUAUGAAAUGGUGUUUAAUCUUCUUUGGGUUAUAUUUAUAUAAAUGUGUUUUUAAUGUGUGCCAAAAUUACAUGGCAUUCCUAAAAUCCUGAUAUGUCUUAGUAUAUGCCAUUAGUAAUAUGUGUAUUAUGUUAAAUUGUUGUAUGCCACAGAAAUAACCAGAUUUCCUUGACAAUUGUAUCUUUAAUGUGUCUUUGACUAGGAUGUCUUAAAAAUUUUAUCAUCUACAAUUAUUGUUUUAUUGGAUUCUUCUCAAAAAGUGGUCUACAGUCAACUACAGUCCAAAAUUUGCUCCUUGGAAGACUCCUGAAUGCAGGUUUCUGAUGAUGUCAGAGAGACUGUGCUGUUGGAUUAGACAGAAAACUUCUAGGACUCUAAUUAAAAGGCUGAUGUGGUCAUAAAGAUUGCUAACCCAGUAUGAAGCAGAACAAGAGUUAAUUGCAUGGACUGAGCUAAUAAGAGGACUGAACUAAUUCUUUUGUGACUUUUUUGGUUGGAAACAUUGCUUGUCAAAUUUUUUUUCUCUUGAGCUAUUUGUAGCCCUUAACAAUUGACUAUACUCUGGUAAAUAAAAUUUAAAUCAUA